CCAGCCCUCGCCUCAUCCCACCCCUCUCAAGGCAGCGCAGAGGCCGAUUCGGCGGCCAUAGAGGAGGUACGAGAUGGAAACCUCCCCACCUACCUGAGGACUAAAACAUCGCAGGGGAUUUGUCGGGGGUUGGCAAUUAACCGGAUCACUCUGGUCACACAAAAGAGGAUCCGAGUUGUAUAUCUUUCUAGGCACCGCUGAGCGAGUGUAUCCUCACCCACGCCAAAUGCCCAUAGGUUUAACCAACAACUUUCUACCAACUUCGAGUGGAACGAGUAGGACAAAGCUUAUGUCGACUGCAUAGACCGGGUGUGGAGUGGCCGGUAUAAGAAGUUGAAGUUCGAGCUGCACAAGUAUUAUGACAGUAUUCCGACGCUUGAGGCAGCUUUUACAGAACCACCCCAUGAGUUUGUGGAGAAGGUGGCCGAGUGGUAGUGGCUUUGCGAGCAUUUUCAGAGUAAAAAAUAUUUAGAAAAAGCUAGCAGCAAAUAAAGGUAAGCUGGAUAAGAAGUCAUACCUUCACCAUUCCCGUUCUCAACCCCUAUCUUACCGGGUCGAGGAACGACGCGCUGCUGAGGAGCAUUCCCAGAAGGUGGUGAUUUGGGGGAGACAAACACUAAUUAUGGCAACGAGGCCGUGAACAAAAUUUAUAAGAAGGAUGAGUACCUCGCCAACAUCUCCCAACAGCAACUGAACGUGCUUAUGGAGGAGCUGACACGUGAUCUAGAGGUGUCUCUCCAGCAGCCACCACAGUAGUUUACAUUUUUUUUUGUUAUAAAUAAUUAUUUUUUCAUUUUUUAUUGUAAUUAUUGUUUUUUUUUCAAUUUAGAAUUAAAUACAUUAUUUAAUAUAAGCAGUGUCGUUACUUUUUUUUAAUUUAAAAAACAAAAUGCCCGACGAACCUUUCGUCUCACAAAAAAAUUAACAAAAUUUUAAAUUUGGUUCCGUAGAAUUUUCCCAACGAUUCAGCAAUCGGGUUAAGCUCAAUACCUUAUUUAAUUAUGUGCUAGCCGACGACAUAUCAUUCUUCAGGCAAGUGGACUCCAUUGGGUCAA
Long non-coding RNA from Pyrus x bretschneideri (Chinese white pear), 1055 nucleotides. RefSeq lists it as uncharacterized. NCBI's taxonomy places the organism in Eukaryota, Viridiplantae, Streptophyta, Magnoliopsida, Rosales, Rosaceae. The record is from RefSeq and is a predicted model, not a curated record. The transcript has 4 exons.